GAAAGUCUGAAUUGUUAAAGGCUGAGUUGUACCCAGUGGUUGUUGCAGUACAGGGCAGCAUGGUUCAAAUCGCAUUGCUACAUGUUUGAGAGCCUCUGGUAAAGGGGCAGCUGUCAGUGUCUUUCAGGGCCUCAUUUUCAUCUCUUUCAACCUUGGGGGUGGCAAGCAAGCAAUCAGACAGACCUGUCAGUGUUCAGCAAACUGUAACUGCUUUUGUAGGUGUUCUCAAAUUAACCCAUCAUUCAGACCUGUGCUUUUUACUUGAAGCAAGUGAAAAACUGCUUCUUGACUGUUAACAAGUACUGGUAGAUGUAUAUAAAGAGCAUGAUUUGUUUUUUAUUAGGAUAUUUAGGGUUUUUUCAUUAAGUCCUUGCAUAUUGUAAGACGCAUACUCGAAGUUUAGGUGAACACUUUUGGAGGAAGGGUCAGUUGUUUUUUUUAAGACAUCAGGAUCAGCGAAGUAACAGCACAUUUUGAUUCUUUGAUUAGAGCUUCAAAAUGGGCAAAGAGCAUUAAUAGAAAGCAAAGCACUUAGUUGCAUGCUUUCCAGCAUGAAUUUUCAGAAUAUAACCAUGCAAGUGAUGAAGAACUACAUUUGGCACAUGUGCUAAAAAUGAGCUCAACAGCUCAACCCAAUCCAUUAAAAAAAAAAAAAAAAACUAAAACCUUUUUGAUACUACAUUCAUGUGUCUGUGGCUAAGACAGAUUCUUCAUAUGAAAUAAGCUCUACAUGAAUUUUCUAGAAAAAAAUAUUUUGGAAAUUGUAUUUUUAUUGUAGUGAAAAUAAGAUAGCAUUAUGUUUAUGUGUACACACACAAAAAGGAACAAUUCACUGUAUAUACAACGAAAUGCAUCGUGCUCAGUAUAACCAAGAAUCUCCUCAGCUUGUGCCCAGCAAAUACCUGAAUACCUUUUAACAGGUGCCUGGUCCCAGCUGCCAUACACGGCUUAACAGAGGCAGCACAGAAGCUCCCCAGGCCAACAGCCCAGCUGCACAGAAGGGUACCUCGAGCCCCGUGUCUCCCACCACUGUGCAGUGGGGGUGACCACGAGGCUUCAGUGCCCUAGGACAGCUCACCUGUGCCCCUGCAAGAGCGGAGCUGUGCCUUACAAAGUCCGGACCAGCACUGCACUGCUCUAAGAGCCCAGGGUCACACAGCACAAGAUUUGUGGCUCUGAUGACCAUCCCUGCUACUCAAGGCAAGAAGACACCAAGCAAAUGAUCCAUUGAGGUUCUCCAAAAGAGGUAGAGGAAUCGCACUGAAAUCUUUACUGGUUUAGAUACACAGCCUAUAGACCAAGUUAAUGAAAAAUGAACUUUUAUAACCUCUGCCACUUCGGAUCACCUCUUUAAAAUGUCACUUUACGCAGAAAAGCCAGAGCAGCUUCCUGAAAUGAAAAACAGAAAAGCAAUGAUUAAGUUAGUCUCUUUCGAACUUUGGAUUCAAGGCUUAUAUGAGGCAGGCCUUCCUACUUUCCAGCUGUGGAAAAUUUAGAAGCUGAUCUGUCUCAAGAUGAAAAAAUGAACAACUGACAUGGAAAAAUGUGAACUGCAGUUAUUUUCAAUUAAAAAAGUGGAGUUGGUGAUCUUGGAACACAAGGUUUUUGCUACUGCAGUUAAUUUUAAUCCGAUCCCAAGGAAUUGUAUCUUUCAAACUAACAGAGCUAUCUGCAAUUUCCCGUUUUCUACAAUACUUUCCCUACACCCAAGCUGGAUUCACACCUCACUAUUACUUAAGGAUUUGCGGUUAGCUUGUGGAUAUAAAUCCCUUCUCCUCAGCCUGCUAGAGUAAAUGCUGGAUGCCAUGUAUAUAACAAGGAAGGAGAACAAUAUGAUCUAACUCACAGUCGGUGGAUGUCUCUGCGCUGGUCGAACUGUAGGAUGUUAGCUGAGGGUAUCUGCGGUAGUAGUGGCUGUAGCCAGUUGUAUCACUUUCAUACAUAGGGUUGUACUUAACGGCAUUCUCAAUGGACGAGAGGCUGUCACCCUGCCUGGGGGAGCGACAAACAAACUGUGAGCUUCUCUGCAGCUGGCAUUUGGAGAUGUCCUUUAAAAUAUUAGGUGGUGUCACUUACCCCUGAGAGUCCUCGGUGUCGCUCUUCGUGUAUUGGUCUCGAAGGGUCCUGGCCAAGAAGAAGAUGACAGCAGAUGCCACAAGAAGGAACCCUGCCACAGAAGCAAUGGCAAUACCCACGACCAGCGGCUCAGACACAUAUUCCUCACAGUGCUCCCCUCUGUACCACCAGUUCUCUCCUACACGACACCUGCAACAAGGAAACACUGGGAAAUCAAACACCAGCUAAGACUCUGACUUCAUUUGACAUAGAUGUAUUUAAUUUGUUCUUAAGACAGUGUCUCAGUUAAGUUAUCUUUAAAAAUAUAUUUGUAUGUUGAAGCACUAACACUUUGUUGUUCUUAUUAUUGUGAACAGCCUUUUUUGUUAUUGAGGAGUUUAGUGAAGAGAGGUAGAACAAAAAGGAUAAAGUGUUAGUGAUGGCAAAAAGCCUGUGUUUUUUGCUAUUUUGCUAUCCUGCAACAUGUUAAAACUGUAAGGUGUUUAGACCGAGUAAAAAAAUAGGCAGUGAUAGCGCCUUGCACAUGAUGUAGCAAACACUGUAAAAGUAGUCUUAAUGAUAUUGUUAUGCAAAUACACGUGAAGGUAUGUUAAUGAGCAGAGCGUUUAUUGUAUGUAAACUCCAUAAUGAUUAAAUACACAAAAUAAAUGACUAGAAAGAUGGGGGUGCCUAAAAGUGUAUCUUUGCAGCUGCUCCCUUAAUCAGCAUUCAUUAUUUCUGCCUUGCCAUGAUGCUGAAUAUGACAGCUGUAGCUAAUACCACUUCUAAACAUACCAGUAAAAAUAUUAUAGCUGCAUUAUAUGUGUUGGGGCCUUUUUGCUAUAAAAAAAAUCAAGGAAGUGCAAGGUAUUACAAGUACUCACAGUACUGAGCCUUACUAAUACUACACAUUACUAAAUUAAGUCUUUUGACAUAAAUAUUUAAGAUGGUUUAUUAAAUUAGUAACCAGCAUUUGAACUUCCUCAAAACGCUUUUUUCAAAAAAAGACUUUCGAAAAAUAUUUCGAAAAAAGUACUGGCCAGAGCAUGCUUGAGCUCAGAUAUUUAUUUCUUAUUAAUCUAUUACACAAAUAUGAUAAAAUUUAUACUACAUCUUCGAAAGUAUCCAUCCUCAUAGCAUUAAAAAACAUUAUAUUUUUUUCCUGUUAAAAGCCAGGACUAUAAGAUUGGCUUUGACUUUAAAAGUUAAAAGUAAGCUUAAAAAAAUGGCCUGAACUAACAAACAAUAACCAGUAGCAGUUAUCAUUCCUUUUUUGUAAUAGUUUUCCUGCCUUUUGUGGAGGACUGUACUUAGUUUCUA
Molecule: long non-coding RNA, 3375 nt
Organism: Oxyura jamaicensis (ruddy duck)
Lineage: Eukaryota; Metazoa; Chordata; Aves; Anseriformes; Anatidae
Exons: 7
Source: RefSeq, a predicted model, not a curated record